Molecule: long non-coding RNA, 1605 nt
Organism: Mauremys reevesii (Reeves's turtle)
Lineage: Eukaryota; Metazoa; Chordata; Testudines; Geoemydidae
Exons: 3
Source: RefSeq, a predicted model, not a curated record
UCUAAGAGGCAGUGUUUUGAAAGAUGAGUGAGUGUGAAUGCUACAAGUAUUAGGCUGGGUCCUAACAAGAAGUCCUGGAACAGGAAGAUGGGGGAGCUGGAAGGGAAACUCUGGAAGUUGAGGUGGUGAAGGAAAACUGCUGGGGUAAAGAGAACCCUGGGCACUGACAGUCAAAAGCCAAAGGUUUAUGGGUGAUAGUGACUCUCUCUUCAGUAGGCCCCCAAAAAGGGCUUAGUGUAGAGUUGAAACCAAGCAAGUUCUAAGACAGGGAGAAACAAGGGGUUCUUGCUGUUGUGAGCCCAAGACAAGGUUGGCUUAAAGCACUGGGAGUUGAGGGGGACUAGAAGUACUUCAUGCUGAGACUUUGUUCAGUGGUCUAUGUUGGAAAAUCUUGGGUGAGGUGAGGACCUGCAGGAAGAGAGGCUGAUGAACCUGGAACUUUGGUAUUGUUUUAUGUGGACUUGGGACUAGAGUACCUGAAAGGGGUGUGGAACCAGAGGGCUGAGUUGCAAGAAGAGGUGACCCAGCCCUGGACAAGAGCAACUGGGCUAGGCAACACCAGGUGCCCCCUAGAGGGGAGACUACUUCCCUGCUACAGCUCUUACUCCUGUAAUGCAGUGUGCUGUGGUAAACAUGCAGGGAAAUCCCUUGUGAGCUCCCUGCUGGACAGCCUGAGAACUCUUGCAGUUAACAGAACAAGUAUGCAUCAGAAUGUGAAGACCAGGCACUAAAAUCAGAAUCUAGAGAACUGCAAUGAUUGCCAAUUUGGGUGGAACUCUUACAUGUACAUGGUAACAAGAUGACAUAUGGUGAUGUCUCAGGGACUUUCUCUCCACAGUUAGGACCAACUGCAACAAUUAUAAAAAUGAGGCACGAUGGAUCCUCAAGAGUGACACCCCUUGGCUCAGGGAACUGAACUUUCUAGGCAGGGACACUUUGUCUUUGGGAAAUCCUACCACUGAAGAUUAGUGGCAUCGAAUCCUGACACCUUCAGUAUGCAACGUAAGACCCAUCUCUUUGCCAGAGCUUUCCCGCAAUAGUAACCAACCCCAAAGAGUGCAUGGAAGGAAAGAAGCAAUAGAAAGAAAUAGGACUGAAAAGAUUGUUCUGCUCCCUCCUUCCUAACCUAAGCACAAGAAUGUGUUUGGGGUUUUUUUGUGUGUGUGGUGGCUUUCUAAAAUCUUUUAGAAAGGUAUUCAGUUAUUGCCAUAAUGAGCUUGCCAUAAACUCACAGACAGGAAGAGACAGAUGGGCAUGAAUGGGGCGCAACAUGAUUUUGCGUUUAAACUAGUGGACUUUUUUCUUCAAAGCAGGAUUUCAGAGACUGCAUGAGAGAGUUUAAAAAUUGACCCCACAGAAAGAGGACAUAUUCUGAUGGAACAUGGCAAAGAAAUUCUUUUCAAGGUUGGACUUGAAUACACAAACAACUGCCAUCCUGGUGCUCCUCUUCCUGCAGGAUCCAUAUGAUGUGAUCCCCUGCCAACAGACUUCUCUUUAUCCUAGCAAAGCUCUGCAGAAAAGCUUUCUCUUUGGACUGCUGAGCAGCAGCUCUUUCUCGUGCAUGCAUUUUUCUUUUAAUUAUAAUUUUGACUGUAUCUAUCUCAA